UACAUGGGGUGCAACCGUUGCUCGGAAUCAUUGGGCGUAAAGCGCGCGUAGGCGGUUAUUUAAGUUGGAUGUGAAAGCCCUCGGCUUAACUGAGGAAGUGCAUCCAAAACUGAAUAGCUAGAGUACGAAAGAGGGUCGCGGAAUUCCCGGUGUAGUGGUGAAAUUCGUAGAUAUCGGGAGGAACACCGGUGGCGAAGGCGGCGACCUGGGUCGAGACUGACGCUGAGGCGCGAAAGCGUGGGGAGCAAACAGG
RNAcentral lists this ribosomal RNA (253 nucleotides) under uncultured bacterium. RNAcentral describes it as "partial 16S ribosomal RNA". It matches the Rfam family "Bacterial small subunit ribosomal RNA", at positions 524 to 776 of the family's 1533-position model. The record is from RNAcentral.